ACUUUCAGACAUGCUGCAAUUUCUGGAAAGUAAAGUUUGCCAAAGCUAUGGUGCAUAUGGGUUGUUGACAGGUUCUGAAGGUGAGAGUAGGGAGUGAUGCAACGUUGUCAAUUAAUUAAUUAAUUGCAGCAGCUUCUUGAUCUUCCGAAAAUUUGUUCAUAGAUGCAAAUAUAGUUUUCUUUUUUCAUCAAUUCUUUGAUAUUGUUAUUGCUUUUUCGGAUCCUAUCAAUCAGUGAUAGUCAAAUGAAACAAAAAGAGAAGGGUGUUAGUUUUAAAGCAAACAGAUUACAAAAGAGGAAUGUGGAGUUGUCAUGAUAAUAAUCCAUC
This 327-nucleotide long non-coding RNA is filed under the name Medicago truncatula (barrel medic). RNAcentral's name for it is "long non-coding RNA (MTRU_LNC002874)". The record is from RNAcentral. Lineage: Eukaryota; Viridiplantae; Streptophyta; Magnoliopsida; Fabales; Fabaceae.